Molecule: ribosomal RNA, 230 nt
Filed under: uncultured bacterium
Lineage: Bacteria
Description: partial 16S ribosomal RNA
Rfam family: Archaeal small subunit ribosomal RNA
Source: RNAcentral
UACCAGCACCCCGAGUGGUCGGGACGUUUAUUGGGCCUAAAGCAUCCGUAGCCGGUUCUACAAGUCUUCCGUUAAAUCCAGCUGACUUAACAGAUGGGCUGCGGAAGAUACUAUGGAGCUAGGAGGCGGGAGAGGCAAGCGGUACUCGAUGGGUAGGGGUAAAAUCCGUUGAUCCAUUGAAGACCACCAGUGGCGAAGGCGGCUUGCCAGAACGCGCUCGACGGUGAGGG